This 178-nucleotide ribosomal RNA is filed under the name uncultured bacterium. Its description in RNAcentral is "partial 16S ribosomal RNA". It matches the Rfam family "Bacterial small subunit ribosomal RNA", at positions 1323 to 1500 of the family's 1533-position model. The record is from RNAcentral.
AAGUCGGAAUUGCUAGUAAUCGCGGAUCAGCAUGCCGCGGUGAAUACGUUCCCGGGCCUUGUACACACCGCCCGUCACACCAUGAGAGUCGAUAACGCCCGAAGCCUGUAGUCUAACAGCAAUGAGGACGCAGUCGAAGGUGGGAUUGAUAAUUAGGGUGAAGUCGUAACAAGGUACC